This is a non-coding RNA of Oscillibacter sp. KLE 1745, 100 nucleotides long. The record is from Rfam. Lineage: Bacteria; Bacillati; Bacillota; Clostridia; Eubacteriales; Oscillospiraceae.
UAGCGCAAAGAUAAAAACACGUCCCGGUUGGUAGUCCGGGAGCGGCCCAUGUGCCGUCAGUAACCUGCCUCCUUGGUUGUCCGUUCUUUGUGCGAGACCU